Molecule: ribosomal RNA, 301 nt
Filed under: uncultured bacterium
Lineage: Bacteria
Description: partial 16S ribosomal RNA
Rfam family: Bacterial small subunit ribosomal RNA
Source: RNAcentral
CAGCAGCCGCGGUAAUACGAGGGGGGCAAGCGUUGUUCGGAAUUAUUGGGCGUAAAGGGCGCGUAGGCGGUUUGACAAGUUUGGUGUGAAGUCUAUGGGCUCAACCCAUAGCCUGCAUCGAAAACUGUCGGGCUUGAGUAUGGGAGAGGUGAGUGGAAUUUCCGGUGUAGCGGUGAAAUGCGUAGAUAUCGGAAGGAACACCUGUGGCGAAAGCGGCUCACUGGACCAUUACUGACGCUGAGGCGCGAAAGCUAGGGGAGCAAACAGGAUUAGAUACCCGCGUAGUCCCUGUCUCUUAUAC